Molecule: ribosomal RNA, 596 nt
Filed under: Salmonella enterica subsp. enterica serovar Tennessee
Lineage: Bacteria; Pseudomonadati; Pseudomonadota; Gammaproteobacteria; Enterobacterales; Enterobacteriaceae
Description: bacterial LSU rRNA
Rfam family: Bacterial large subunit ribosomal RNA
Source: RNAcentral
UAGGGGAGCCGCAGGGAAACCGAGUCUUAAUUGGGCGUUAAGUUGCAGGGUAUAGACCCGAAACCCGGUGAUCUAGCCAUGGGCAGGUUGAAGGUUGGGUAACACUAACUGGAGGACCGAACCGACUAAUGUUGAAAAAUUAGCGGAUGACCUGUGGCUGGGGGUGAAAGGCCAAUCAAACCGGGAGAUAGCUGGUUCUCCCCGAAAGCUAUUUAGGUAGCGCCUCGUGAAUUCAUCUCCGGGGGUAGAGCACUGUUUCGGCUAGGGGGCCAUCCCGGCUUACCAACCCGAUGCAAACUGCGAAUACCGGAGAAUGUUAUCACGGGAGACACACGGCGGGUGCUAACGUCCGUCGUGAAGAGGGAAACAACCCAGACCGCCAGCUAAGGUCCCAAAGUCAUGGUUAAGUGGGAAACGAUGUGGGAAGGCCCAGACAGCCAGGAUGUUGGCUUAGAAGCAGCCAUCAUUUAAAGAAAGCGUAAUAGCUCACUGGUCGAGUCGGCCUGCGCGGAAGAUGUAACGGGGCUAAACCAUGCACCGAAGCUGCGGCAGCGACACUGUGUGUUGUUGGGUAGGGGAGCGUUCUGUAAGCCUGU